UAAACCAGGAUUAGAUACCCUAUUAUAUUUAAACAAAUUGGGUAGUAUUAUUAAUAAAAACCUUUAUACUUUGGCGGCAUUUUAUCUUAUUAGAGGAAUAUGUUCAUUAAUCGAAACCACACGAUAGUUUUUACUUACUAUAAAAUUUUAUAUACCCCCGUCUAAAGAAUUUAUUUAAAAUUUUUAUUCCAAAUUAUAUUAAAAAAAGUUAGGUAAAGGUGUAGACUAUUAGUAAGAUUAAAUGUAUUACAUUAAAAAAAAAUUUAAGGAUAAAACAGUUAACUGUUUAUUAAAAGAGGAUUUAUAAGUAAUUUACUUUUAAUAAAAAUUAAUGAAUAAGAAAAUAAAUGUGCACAUAUCGCCCGUCACUCUCACAUAUAAACCAGGAUUAGAUACCCUAUUAUACAUAUCGCCCGUCACUCUCA
This 425-nucleotide ribosomal RNA is filed under the name Sancus acoreensis. RNAcentral's name for it is "partial 12S ribosomal RNA". Lineage: Eukaryota; Metazoa; Arthropoda; Arachnida; Araneae; Tetragnathidae. The record is from RNAcentral.